Molecule: ribosomal RNA, 377 nt
Filed under: uncultured organism
Description: partial 16S ribosomal RNA
Rfam family: Bacterial small subunit ribosomal RNA
Source: RNAcentral
CGGGGGGGGGGGCAAGCGUUGUUCGGAAUUACUGGGCGUAAAGGGCGCGUAGGCGGGCGAGACAGUCUUUCGUGAAAUCCCACGGGCUCAACCGUGGAACUGCGGGAGAUACUACUCGUCUUGAGUUCGGGAGAGGAGUGUGGAAUUCCCAGUGUAGCGGUGAAAUGCGUAGAUAUUGGGAGGAACACCGGUGGCGAAGGCGGCACUCUGGACCGAUACUGACGCUGAGGCGCGAAAGCUAGGGGAGCAAACGGGAUUAGAUACCCCGGUAGUCCUAGCUGUAAACGAUGAGCACUUGGUGUAGCGGGUAUCGACCCCUGCUGUGCCGGAGUUAACGCAUUAAGUGCUCCGCCUGGGGAGUACGGUCGCAAAGGCUG